UAUGCUGGCAUAUAUUAAUGUAAAAUAAUUUAUUCUUUAUUAAUAUCCCAGUGUAUUGUGUUUCUGAGCGCGAGUAAUCGAGGAACUAUAUUAUCCUGUGGCGGCGCUGGCGGAGGGAGACCAUCGAGAGUAGCAGUGCUGCUCGCGCAGAUUACGUCACGCGGUUGGCGACAGAAUGUCUGAGUGCGAGGCGCGAGUAAGCUGCACGUGAAUGUGGAAUCUGGGAAAACACUGCGAGCUGAGAUAUCAGCCACUGCUGAGGAGGGAGGAGAGGUCGGAGGAGGGCCUCUCACCUCUGUCACGGAGCCUUCAUUCACCCUCAUCACAAUGGAGCCAUGAAAAUGUGUUGGUGAUGCUAUUGUUUGCAUGUUCAGCAAAUAUAACUCCUGCAUUACAUCAUGCAACUUUGAAGAUGGAAUGAUAUUUCUUCCCCCAUAUCACAGAUGUUUCUUCAGUUCAACAUUGUAAGGUCAUUUCUCUUGAGACUAGAGCUGUGACGCUGCGUCCAUCUGGAGAUAUUGUAAGCGAUAGUCCUCUGACAUCAUCCUUUCCUGUGGCGUAUUCUAAACAGAGUUCUGUGUGGUGAAAAUAGCUCCAGCUGUAAACAAAGCUUCCAUGUCUGAUUUGCUUUUCUUAGAACGGAAUAACAGUAUAUGCACUAUAAUGCCAAAGAAAACAUAGGAGGGAUGACUACAACAGCCAGCAAGAGAAUAACUCAGCAUUUACACAAUGAAGCAUAUGUUGCAUCAAAAGCCAGAUCCACCCUAAACUCAUUACCAUCUGCAAAGCAUUUUAAACACAUAUGACUUAUAUACAAUGCAAAUAUGUGUGGUGUCAGCAUGAGUUAAAAAAAAAACUUAAUUCCUCUUGACCAUUCAAAAUAUGUAUUGUAAUAUACUAAAUAUAGAAAUAAAUCUACAAAGCACAAAUAAAGCUUUUAGAUUCUUAGCUUCGGGUUUUCCUUUAAUUCACCAGUUGUGAGUAUGUGCUGUGCAAUGAUGUCAUCCCCCAUUGCUUUAUUGAUCGUAGCUGCCAUGGCUACCACAGUGCUGUAACUGUAGCAGUGGUAGGUCAAAGGUUACAAAGAUAGCCCUGAAUUUAUGGGAGGGCUUUUCUCAUUCACCCCCACACCUCUUUGUUGAUUCUGAAUAUGCCUUUCAUUUCCAAUCCUCGUCGUUCUCUCCAUCCUUCAUCCAAUCAGUGGCAAUUAACCACAAGAACCAGCCAGCUACCUUUCCGAUGAUAACCUCUGCCCAGUGCAGACUGCUGUUUGUAAACCUUUAUGCAAGAAUAUUUUGCCCACACAGUACUGAUAAACCAAGAUAAACAUUCAGAUAUAAUUUUAAAGGGAUAGUUCACUCAAAAAUAAAAAGCUGCUUAAAAUGUACUCUCCCUUGGGUCAUCCAAAAUGUAAUUAAGUUUGUACUGGAACAGAUUUGCAUAAAUUUAGCAUUAUGUCACUUGCUCACCAAUGGAUCCUCUGCAGUGAAUGGGUGCCGUCAGAAUGAGAGUCCAAACAGCUGAUAAAAACAUCAAAAUUAUCCACAAAUUAUCAAAACUACUCCAGUCCAUCAAUUAACGUCUUGUGAAGUGAAAAUCUGCCUGUUGGUAAGAAGCCUUAUCAAUACCUACAUAUAUUUUUUAAAGGUGAACCAUAUGUAUCACUUUAUUAAUAUUUUUAUUUUUAUUUUUUUUACAUUCAACACAUUACAUUUAUAACGUUAUAAGUUCACCAUAAAAACUCUGUGGACAGCUCCCUCUAGUGACAAAUCAUAAUCAGUUCAUACAUUUAAAAAAAAAAAAACAUGUCAAAUCUAUUGAAACGUUUGAAUGAUAGUAAGUAAAAGUAAGUUCUGCUUAAUACUUAAUAAAACAUUUUGCAUGUC
Molecule: long non-coding RNA, 1886 nt
Organism: Cyprinus carpio carpio
Lineage: Eukaryota; Metazoa; Chordata; Actinopteri; Cypriniformes; Cyprinidae
Source: Ensembl